This 305-nucleotide small RNA is filed under the name Arabidopsis thaliana (thale cress). RNAcentral's name for it is "ATSL032000". Lineage: Eukaryota; Viridiplantae; Streptophyta; Magnoliopsida; Brassicales; Brassicaceae. The record is from RNAcentral.
UCAAAACUAGAAUCAUGUCAAAACUUAGUUUACAACAAGAAUCAUGGAAAUCAUACCUUAUUUUCAGCUUCAGCUCCAAGUACUAACUUGGACCAAAAGUUGGACGAGACGACACAGAACGGCAAGGGCAAGGGCAACAGAUUUCCAUGUACUGCAACAAGUAGAAGGAAAACAAACGUGCAUAAGGAACCAUAUAUGCAAGAAUCAAGACAAGAUAAUUACAAAGAAGCUCCAUCUAAAGGUACAUACUUUUCAGCAUCAUCUGAUCCUAACUAAUAAAUUUUUCAGAGUUUAACUAUAAUGUU